CCCAGACUCCUACGGGAGGCAGCAGUGGGGAAUAUUGUACAAUGGGGGAAACCCUGAUGCAGCGACGCCGCGUGAGUGAAGAAGUAUCUCGGUACGUAAAGCUCUAUCAGCAGGGAAGAAAAUGACGGUACCUGAUUAAGAAGCCCCGGCUAACUACGUGCCAGCAGCCGCGGUAAUACGUAGGGGGCAAGCGUUAUCCGGAAUUACUGGGUGUAAAGGGAGCGUAGACGGCAAUGCAAGUCCGGAGUGGAAUGCGGCAGCUCAACUGCCGAACUGCUCUGGAAACUGUAUGGCUUGAGUGCAGGAGGGGUAAGCGGAAUUCCUGGUGUAGCGGUGAAAUGCGUAGAUAUCAGGAGGAACACCGGUGGCGAAGGCGGCUUACUGGACUGUAACUGACGUUGAGGCUCGAAAGCGUGGGGAGCAAACAGGAUUAGAUACCCGCGUA
This 445-nucleotide ribosomal RNA is filed under the name uncultured bacterium. RNAcentral describes it as "bacterial SSU rRNA". It matches the Rfam family "Bacterial small subunit ribosomal RNA", at positions 330 to 792 of the family's 1533-position model. The record is from RNAcentral.